This 894-nucleotide ribosomal RNA is filed under the name Staphylococcus aureus. Its description in RNAcentral is "partial 23S ribosomal RNA". It matches the Rfam family "Bacterial large subunit ribosomal RNA", at positions 574 to 1473 of the family's 2925-position model. The record is from RNAcentral. Lineage: Bacteria; Bacillati; Bacillota; Bacilli; Caryophanales; Staphylococcaceae.
UCAGAGCCCGUUAAUGGGUGAUGGCGUGCCUUUUGUAGAAUGAACCGGCGAGUUACGAUUUGAUGCAAGGUUAAGCAGUAAAUGUGGAGCCGUAGCGAAAGCGAGUCUGAAUAGGGCGUUUAGUAUUUGGUCGUAGACCCGAAACCAGGUGAUCUACCCUUGGUCAGGUUGAAGUUCAGGUAACACUGAAUGGAGGACCGAACCGACUUACGUUGAAAAGUGAGCGGAUGAACUGAGGGUAGCGGAGAAAUUCCAAUCGAACCUGGAGAUAGCUGGUUCUCUCCGAAAUAGCUUUAGGGCUAGCCUCAAGUGAUGAUUAUUGGAGGUAGAGCACUGUUUGGACGAGGGGCCCCUCUCGGGUUACCGAAUUCAGACAAACUCCGAAUGCCAAUUAAUUUAACUUGGGAGUCAGAACAUGGGUGAUAAGGUCCGUGUUCGAAAGGGAAACAGCCCAGACCACCAGCUAAGGUCCCAAAAUAUAUGUUAAGUGGAAAAGGAUGUGGCGUUGCCCAGACAACUAGGAUGUUGGCUUAGAAGCAGCCAUCAUUUAAAGAGUGCGUAAUAGCUCACUAGUCGAGUGACACUGCGCCGAAAAUGUACCGGGGCUAAACAUAUUACCGAAGCUGUGGAUUGUCCUUUGGACAAUGGUAGGAGAGCGUUCUAAGGGCGUUGAAGCAUGAUCGUAAGGACAUGUGGAGCGCUUAGAAGUGAGAAUGCCGGUGUGAGUAGCGAAAGACGGGUGAGAAUCCCGUCCACCGAUUGACUAAGGUUUCCAGAGGAAGGCUCGUCCGCUCUGGGUUAGUCGGGUCCUAAGCUGAGGCCGACAGGCGUAGGCGAUGGAUAACAGGUUGAUAUUCCUGUACCACCUAUAAUCGUUUUAAUCGAUGGGGGGAC